CCAGACAAGCUGAGAGGAGGUGCAUGGCCGUCGCCAGCUCGUGCCGUGAGGUGUCCUGUUAAGUCAGGUAACGAGCAAGAUCCCUGCCUCUAGUUGCUAUCACUGCUCUCAGGAGCAGAGGGGCUAAUUAGAGGGACCGCCGCCGCUGAGGCGGAGGAAGGAGGGGGCUACGGCAGGUCAGUAUGCCCCGAAACCCUCGGGCCACACGCGGGCUGCAAUGGUAAGGACAACGGGCCCCGAUCCCGAAAGGGGGAGGCAAUCCCUCAAACCUUACCCCAGUUAUGAUUGAGGGCUGAAACUCGCCCUCAUGAAUAUGGAAUCCCUAGUAACCGCGUGUCAACAUCGCGCGGUGAAUACGUCCCUGCUCCUUGCACACACCGCCCGUCGCUUCACCGAAGCUGGUUCUUGGCGAGGUGGCGUCUUAUUGGCACUAUCGAACCUGGGGUCAGCAACGGGGGAGAAGUCGUAACAAGGUAGUCGUAGGGGAACCUGCGGCUGGAUCACCUCCUU
RNAcentral lists this ribosomal RNA (510 nucleotides) under uncultured bacterium. RNAcentral's name for it is "bacterial SSU rRNA". It matches the Rfam family "Archaeal small subunit ribosomal RNA", at positions 971 to 1478 of the family's 1478-position model. The record is from RNAcentral.